This 631-nucleotide long non-coding RNA is filed under the name Homo sapiens (human). RNAcentral describes it as "novel transcript". The record is from RNAcentral. Lineage: Eukaryota; Metazoa; Chordata; Mammalia; Primates; Hominidae.
AGUGUAGUCUUGUGUCUAAGCUGGUGUCUGGCCACCAAAGGCAGGCGUGCAGGGCCUUGGCUACUGCGCUAGGUCUGCUGAUGGCCACAAGCCUUUAGUCCCAGCUCUGCCUUAGCAAUGGGGGUGUCUGAAGGCUCAGGGGAUACACAGGUCCUCUAGGUUCCUGGGGAGAUGAUGGAAAGAAGCUUGCAAUAACUAAUUAGCAGCUCCGGCCACUGGAGAAAGCUCAAUGCCUUGAGAAAAGCAAAUGCACCGGAGAAACAAGUUAGAUAGAGCUGAAUUAAAGAGUGAGAGUUUCGACCAGGAGUGGAUACUGAGGAGAGCAAAGAUCACCUGGUGCUCAUCAAGCCGGACUUCCAGAGGCAAAGCUCCUUAACUGAAGAAUUCAGAAUCUAUCAUUGAUGGGCAUUUAGGUUGGUUCCAUGUCUUUGCUAUUGUGAAUAGUACUGCAAUGAACAUAUGCACGUCUUUGAGGAAUCACCACCAUGGAAUACUAUGCAGCCAUAAAAAAGAAAGAUAACAUGUCCUUCACAGGGACAUAGAUGGAGCUGGAGGCCAUUCUCCUUAGCAAACUAAACUAUGUAACAAACCUAUACUUGUACCCCAGAACUUAAAAUAAAAGUUUAAAAAA